Molecule: ribosomal RNA, 406 nt
Filed under: uncultured bacterium
Lineage: Bacteria
Description: partial 16S ribosomal RNA
Rfam family: Bacterial small subunit ribosomal RNA
Source: RNAcentral
AUUGAACGCUGGCGGCAGGCCUAACACAUGCAAGUCGAACGAGUGGCGGACGGGUGAGUAAUGUCUGGGAAACUGCCCGAUGGAGGGGGAUAACUACUGGAAACGGUAGCUAAUACCGCAUACCAUCGGAUGUGCCCAGAUGGGAUGAGCUAGUAGGUGGGGUAACGGCUCACCUAGGCGACGAUCCCUAGCUGGUCUGAGAGGAUGACCAGCAAAACCGGAACUGAGACACGGGCAAGAAUCCUACGGGAGGCAGCAGGGGGGAAUAUUGCACAAUGAGCGCAAUCCUGAUGCAGCCAUGCCGCGUGGAUGAAGAAGGCCUUCGGGGUGUAAAGUACUUUCAGCGAGGAGGCGUUACUCGCAGAAGAAGCACCGGCUAACUCCGUGCCAGCAGCCGCGGUAAUUC